GAUGAAGAACGUAGCAAAAUGCGAUAAGUAAUGUGAAUUGCAGAAUUCAGUGAAUCAUCGAAUCUUUGAACGCACAUUGCGCCCAUCAGUAUUCUGUUGGGCAUGCCUGUCCGAGCGUCAUUUCAACCCUCAGGGCCCGUUCGCGGGAACUGGUGUUGGGGAUCGGCCUCCCCCCGGAGGCCGGCCCCGAAAUGCAGUGGCGGCUCUACCGCGAUCUCCUCUGUGUAGUAGCGAUACCUCGCAGCUGGAUAGUGGUGGUGCCACGCCGUAAAAUCCCAACUUUACCAAGGUUGACCUCGGAUCAGGUAGGAAUACCCGCUGAACUUAAGCAUAUCAAUAAGCGGAGGA
Molecule: unclassified non-coding RNA, 348 nt
Filed under: soil metagenome
Description: partial contains 5.8S ribosomal RNA, internal transcribed spacer 2, and large subunit ribosomal RNA
Rfam family: 5.8S ribosomal RNA (bases 1-120)
Source: RNAcentral